GACGAACGCUGGCGGCGUGCUUAACACAUGCAAGUCGAACGAAGAGGCCCUGCUUGUUGGGUGGACUCGAGUCGCAAGCGUGUGUAUAACGCGUGAAUAACCUGCCCGUCACUGUGGUAUACCUUCAAAAAUUGGUGUCUUAUACCAUAUAAGAGCUCCUCCUGCGUCGUGUGUUGGGGAGAUUUUCGGCGGUUGGGGAUGGACUCGCGGCUUAUCAGCUUGUUGGUGGGGUAGUGGCUUACCAAGGCUGUGACGGGUAGCCGGCCUGAGAGGGUGACCGGCCACACUGGGACUGAGACACGGCCCAGACUCCUACGGGAGGCAGCAGUGGGGAAUAUUGCACAAUGGGCGGAAGCCUGAUGCAGCAACGCCGCGUGAGGGAUGACGGCCUUCGGGUUGUAAACCGCUUUCGGCUGGGAAGAAGCGAGAGUGACGGUAAUGGGUAAAGAAGCACCGGCUAACUACGUG
RNAcentral lists this ribosomal RNA (468 nucleotides) under uncultured bacterium. RNAcentral describes it as "partial 16S ribosomal RNA". It matches the Rfam family "Bacterial small subunit ribosomal RNA", at positions 28 to 507 of the family's 1533-position model. The record is from RNAcentral.